UUGGGUAACUUUAUUAAAAUAAUAUCUUCAAGCUUAUUAAAAAAGUAUGUAACAGUAACAUUUUUUAUAUGUUGAAUUUUCAAAUAUUCUAUAAUGAAUAUUUAUUUUUAAAAUCGGAAUAAAAAUGCCAUGUAAAAACAAUUACUAUAUUAUAAAUAUGAUUAUACUACAUGAUCACAAUUACUUAUAUAUACACAAACUAGAGCUCAAGAGCAGAAGGAUUACCAUUUGCUUUGGGCAAUAGAGUACAUAAAUUCCUCCUACAACUCUCUUAUUAUUCAAACUUGUAGGGUGGACUUUGUUUUAAAAAUGAA
RNAcentral lists this long non-coding RNA (314 nucleotides) under Bos taurus (domestic cattle). Its description in RNAcentral is "long non-coding RNA NONBTAT001253". Lineage: Eukaryota; Metazoa; Chordata; Mammalia; Artiodactyla; Bovidae. The record is from RNAcentral.